CUCACCUCACUAGCUCCAUGUCCUUCCAAAGCGUGCCAGCCUCCCACAGCGCCCACACCUUAAUGACCCCUUGGUCACUCAGCCACCACACCGGACCCCCUAUUUCCCCAGCCCAUGUCUGCUCAGCACUCCCCAAUGUCCUAGCCUCUUGGAAACUCCCAGGAGCUUCCCAACACCCAGCCUCAAAUUAACCCCUAGCCACCCCCAGCGGUUCUCCGUUCCCUCCUCUGGCCAUCCCUCCUUAUCCUGCCCCUCACUGUACCCUGAAGGCCACCUCUACCCCCUUCUCCCAAGUGACCUAGGAACCCAGCAUCUGGGACUUGGCCUUUCCCCUGUCCAAGCUGUCGGGCAGGGCAGGGACCCUGACCUCAGCUCUCUGCUGUUCGUGCCCCAGAGGCUACGCCAAGCCUGUGUGCUCCCUCCUGCCUCAGGAGCAGGCCCCCAGCACCCAGCUGCCCGGCUGCCAUGCACAAACAUUACAAAGUCCACUUCGCCAAGGAUGCCCAGAGCCCCAACGGGCACUACUUCUGGGACCCAGAGUUGGGGCACCGAAAAGGAUGCUGUCAUCAGUGGCGCCAGGACUCAGCGGCCCUCCGAGCCCAUGGGCCCUGUCGACCUUCCCCCCAGU
This 628-nucleotide long non-coding RNA is filed under the name Pan troglodytes (chimpanzee). Its description in RNAcentral is "long non-coding RNA NONPTRT008552". The record is from RNAcentral. Lineage: Eukaryota; Metazoa; Chordata; Mammalia; Primates; Hominidae.